This 240-nucleotide ribosomal RNA is filed under the name uncultured bacterium. RNAcentral's name for it is "partial 16S ribosomal RNA". It matches the Rfam family "Bacterial small subunit ribosomal RNA", at positions 537 to 776 of the family's 1533-position model. The record is from RNAcentral.
AGCGUUAUUCGGAAUUACUGGGCGGAAAGCGCACGUAGGCGGCUUUGUAAGUUCUAGGGGAAAGCCUGGAGCUCAACUCCAGAAUUGCCUUUAAGACUGCAUCGCUUGAAUCCAGGAGAGGUGAGUGGAAUUCCGAGUGUAGAGGUGAAAUUCGUAGAUAUUCGGAAGAACACCAGUGGCGAAGGCGGCUCACUGGACUGGUAUUGACGCUGAGGUGCGAAAGCGUGGGGAGCAAACAGG